GGACGCGUAGCUCAGUUGGCUAGAGCACCACGUUGACAUCGUGGGGGUCAGGGGUUCGAAUCCCUUCGCGUCCACCA
This 77-nucleotide transfer RNA is filed under the name Gloeobacterales cyanobacterium ES-bin-141. RNAcentral describes it as "tRNA-Val". It matches the Rfam family "tRNA". Rfam says of the family: Transfer RNA (tRNA) molecules are approximately 80 nucleotides in length. Their secondary structure includes four short double-helical elements and three loops (D, anti-codon, and T loops). Further hydrogen bonds mediate the characteristic L-shaped molecular structure. tRNAs have two regions of fundamental functional importance: the anti-codon, which is responsible for specific mRNA codon recognition, and the 3' end, to which the tRNAs corresponding amino acid is attached (by aminoacyl-tRNA synthetases). tRNAs cope with the degeneracy of the genetic code in two manners: having more than one tRNA (with a specific anti-codon) for a particular amino acid; and 'wobble' base-pairing, i.e. permitting non-standard base-pairing at the 3rd anti-codon position. The record is from RNAcentral. Lineage: Bacteria; Bacillati; Cyanobacteriota; Cyanophyceae; Gloeobacterales.